RNAcentral lists this ribosomal RNA (423 nucleotides) under uncultured bacterium. RNAcentral's name for it is "bacterial SSU rRNA". It matches the Rfam family "Bacterial small subunit ribosomal RNA", at positions 355 to 775 of the family's 1533-position model. The record is from RNAcentral.
UGAGGAAUAUUGGACAAUGGGCGCAAGCCUGAUCCAGCCAUGCCGCGUGCAGGAAGACGGUCCUAUGGAUUGUAAACUGCUUUUGUACAGGAAGAAACAUCCCUACGUGUAGGGACUUGACGGUACUGUAAGAAUAAGGAUCGGCUAACUCCGUGCCAGCAGCCGCGGUAAUACGGAGGAUCCAAGCGUUAUCCGGAAUCAUUGGGUUUAAAGGGUCCGUAGGCGGUUUAAUAAGUCAGUGGUGAAAUCUGGUCGCUCAACGAUCAAACGGCCAUUGAUACUGUUAGACUUGAAUUAUUGUGAAGUAACUAGAAUAUGUAGUGUAGCGGUGAAAUGCUUAGAUAUUACAUGGAAUACCAAUUGCGAAGGCAGGUUACUAACAAUAUAUUGACGCUGAUGGACGAAAGCGUGGGGAGCGAACAG